CAGCGCCGCGGUAAUACGAAGGGUGCAAGCGUUAAUCGGAAUUACUGGGCGUAAAGCGUGCGUAGGCGGUUUGUUAAGUCUGCUGUGAAAUCCCCGGGCUCAACCUGGGAAUGGCAGUGGAUACUGGCAAGCUAGAGUGUGUCAGAGGAUGGUGGAAUUCCCGGUGUAGCGGUGAAAUGCGUAGAGAUCGGGAGGAACAUCAGUGGCGAAGGCGGCCAUCUGGGACAACACUGACGCUGAGGCACGAAAGCGUGGGGAGCGAACAGGAUUAGAUACCCCUGUAGUCCCUGUCUCUUAUACA
This 301-nucleotide ribosomal RNA is filed under the name uncultured bacterium. Its description in RNAcentral is "partial 16S ribosomal RNA". It matches the Rfam family "Bacterial small subunit ribosomal RNA", at positions 509 to 808 of the family's 1533-position model. The record is from RNAcentral.